RNAcentral lists this transfer RNA (78 nucleotides) under Caldococcus noboribetus. RNAcentral describes it as "tRNA-Val". It matches the Rfam family "tRNA". Rfam says of the family: Transfer RNA (tRNA) molecules are approximately 80 nucleotides in length. Their secondary structure includes four short double-helical elements and three loops (D, anti-codon, and T loops). Further hydrogen bonds mediate the characteristic L-shaped molecular structure. tRNAs have two regions of fundamental functional importance: the anti-codon, which is responsible for specific mRNA codon recognition, and the 3' end, to which the tRNAs corresponding amino acid is attached (by aminoacyl-tRNA synthetases). tRNAs cope with the degeneracy of the genetic code in two manners: having more than one tRNA (with a specific anti-codon) for a particular amino acid; and 'wobble' base-pairing, i.e. permitting non-standard base-pairing at the 3rd anti-codon position. Lineage: Archaea; Thermoproteati; Thermoproteota; Thermoprotei; Desulfurococcales. The record is from RNAcentral. RNAcentral also lists the same sequence under 9 other names.
GGGCCCGUAGUCUAGAUUGGUUAGGACGCCGCCCUGACACGGCGGAGGUCGCCGGUUCAAGUCCGGCCGGGCCCACCA